GUGAAUAUAGCGCAUCUCUUCGGAGAGCGUGACCUCCACUUUCAACUCUGUGCAUUUUUUGGCGAGGGAACGAGACGAAGCGACGCAAGUUGCAGACUCUCGCCUCUUGCGGCUCAUUCUAAACACUAGUUAAAGUAUGUAACGAAAUAUCGAAACAAAAA
This 161-nucleotide unclassified non-coding RNA is filed under the name soil metagenome. RNAcentral's name for it is "partial internal transcribed spacer 1". The record is from RNAcentral.